Molecule: ribosomal RNA, 847 nt
Filed under: uncultured archaeon
Lineage: Archaea
Description: bacterial SSU rRNA
Rfam family: Archaeal small subunit ribosomal RNA
Source: RNAcentral
UUCCGGUUGAUCCCGCCGGACCCCACUGCUAUCGAGAUGGGACUAAGGUAUGCUAGUCGAACGACCAGAACUAUGUCUGGGAGUGGCACACUGCUCAGUAACACGUAGCUAACCUACCCUUAGGACGUGGAUACCCCCGAGAAAUUGGGGUUAAUCCGCGAUAGAUGUAAUGUCCUGGAAUGGUAUUACGUCUAAAGGUAUUUCAUACAUGUUUGAAAUAUGCCUAAGGAUGGGGCUGCGGCCGAUCAGGCUGUUGGUGAGGUAAUGGCUCACCAAACCUUUGACCGGUACGGGCCAUGAGAGUGGUAGCCCGGAGAUGGACACUGAGACAAGGGUCCAGGCCCUAAGGGGCGCAGCAACCGCGAAACCUCCACAAUGCACUCACGUGCGAUGGGGCUAUCUCGAGUGCCACCUGAUGAAGGUGGCUUUUCCUAGGUCUUCAAAGCCUUGGGAAUAAGAGGGGGGCAAGACUGGUGUCAGCCGCCGCGGUAACACCAGCCCCUCGAGUGGUGGGGAUGAUUAUUUGGCCUAAAGCGUCCGUAGCCGGCCGAGCAAGUCUUCCGUUAAAUCCAGCGUCUCAAGCGUUGGACUGCGGGAGAUACUGCAGGGCUAGAGAGUGGGAGAGGUCAGCGGUAUUCUGGGGGUAGGGGCGAAAUCCUUUGAUCCCCGGAGGACCACCAGUGGCGAAGGCUGCUGACUAGAACACGUCUGACGGUCAGGGACGAAAGCUGGGGUAGCGAACCGGAUUAGAUACCCGGGUAGUCCCAGCCGUAAACGAUGCAUGCUAGGUGUUGGGUUGGCCACGCGCCACCCCAGUGCCGCAGGGAAGCCGUUAAGCAUGCCGCCU